GUAUAGGUAGAAACGAGAGAAAGAAGAGGGAUAAAGGAGACAGAAGAGGAGUUAUGAGAGAAAAGAUGGAAGUGAUAGAAGUGAUAAGUGGAGUAGUGAUGAAUCAUAUGAAAGAGGGGAUGGAAGAGAUAAGGAAGGAUUAUAUGAAAGAGGAGAUAGUAGGAGAAGGGAUAAGAUGGAUAUAUGUGGGUAUAAUAAGUGGGAUAGUGAUAUGAGGAGGAGAAAGAAGAGGAAAGAGGUGUAUGAUGCAGGCAAAGAAGUGACGCAGUAGAUCAGAGAGUAACACAUGCGAGUGGAGAAGCGAACGGGUGAGUAAAGAGGUGUGAAGGAGUCGAGUAGGAUGAAAGCACAGAGAGAUGUAAGAGAUGGGAAGAGAAAAGCCCAUAAAGGAAGAAAAAGCGAGAAUCUGAGAGGAGGAAAGCCACAUUGGAACUGAGAGAAGGACCAAACGAGAAAAAGUCAGCAGUGGGGAAAAUUGGGCAAUGUACAGGAAAGUAUGACCCAGUAAUGAGGAGUGUAGAAGACAGAAGAGGAAGUAAAAGGAGGAAGAAAGAGGGAAGUUAUGGCAAAAAGACGUGCCAGCAGCAGCGGUAAAACGUGUGUAGCAAGCGUAGAAAAGAGGGACUGGGUGUAAAGGUCGAGUAGUAGAGGAAGUGUAAGAGAGAAGGAAAGGAGAGAAGGAGGAGAGGGAUGAAAUGCGAGGAUCUCAAGAGAAAGGCAAAGAAGAAAAGAAAGGGAGACACAGGAAAUGAGGCGAGAAGGCAUAGGAAGUGAAACGGAUUAGGGACCCGUGUAGUCUAUGCAGUAAAAGAAAGAAUGAGAAAGAAGAAAGGGAGUCAUUCCACCAGGGGAGUAAAGACGCAAGAAAGAAACCCAAAGCAAUUGACGGGAAUCGGAAAAAGGGGUGGAUCACGUAAAUUAAUCCGAUGUAAAACGGGAACCUUACCUAUCCAAGAAGGUGUUGCACGGCUGUCGAAAGAGCGUGCUGUGAAGUGAGAAAACGUACGAGAGAGCCAAGAGAGGAAAAGAAGGCAAGUAGAGGGCGGCCCGAGAAAGGAUAGGGCGUAAGACGUGAGACAGAGUAGGAAGCAAAGAGAAGAGAGAAGUAAAAAAGAAAAAGAAGAGAGAAAGGACUAGAAGAGGUACGGAGAGCACGAGGAAGAAGCGUGAAGGAAGGAGGAAUCCCAAGUAAUCGAGGAAGAGAAAGCUGCGGUGAAAGAGUGAACGGAUUUUGUACACACUGCCCGUCAAGUUCUGGGAGUGUGCUAGGAAUAAGCAAGAAUAGUAGAAGAGAGAAAGAAAAGAAGAAAGGAAGUAAAGAUGAAAAAAAGCGAAAAAAAAGCGUAUGACUGGAAUUAAGUCGUAACAAGGUAGGCGUAGGAGAACCUGUGGCUGAAGA
Non-coding RNA from Galdieria partita, 1399 nucleotides. Lineage: Eukaryota; Rhodophyta; Bangiophyceae; Galdieriales; Galdieriaceae. The record is from the annotation of a GenBank genome assembly.